RNAcentral lists this ribosomal RNA (467 nucleotides) under uncultured bacterium. RNAcentral describes it as "bacterial SSU rRNA". It matches the Rfam family "Bacterial small subunit ribosomal RNA", at positions 28 to 507 of the family's 1533-position model. The record is from RNAcentral.
GACGAACGCUGGCGGCGUGCUUAAAACAUGCAAGUCGAACGGACUUCUCAUGAAGCUUGCGAUUGAGAAGUUAGUGGCGGACGGGUGAGUAACGCGUGGGCAACCUGCCCCUGAGCCCGGGAUAACAGUUCGAAAGGACUGCUAAGACCGGAUAUACUUGCGGUGAAGCAUUUCACUGCAAGGAAAGGGAACGCUCAGGGAUGGGCCCGCGUCCCAUUAGCUAGUUGGUGAGGUAACGGCCCACCAAAGGCGACGAUGGGUAGCCGGCCUGAGAGGGUGAACGGCCACACUGGGACUGAGACACGGCCCAGACUCCUACGGGAGGCAGCAGUUGGGAAUCUUCGGCAAUGGGCGCAAGCCUGACCGAGCAACGCCGCGUGAGUGAUGAAGGUUUUCGGAUUGUAAAGCUCUGUCUUCCGGGACGAUAAUGACGGUACCGGAGGAGGAAGCCAACGGCUAACUACGUG